CGGUAAUACGGAGGGUGCAAGCGUUAUCCGGAUUCACUGGGUUUAAAGGGUGUGUAGGCGGAUAUUUAAGUCAGUGGUGAAAUCUCUGGGCUCAACCCGGAAACUGCCAUUGAUACUAUUUAUCUUGAAUUCUGUUGAGGUGGGCGGAAUACAUCAUGUAGCGGUGAAAUGCUUAGAUAUGAUGUAGAACACCGAUUGCGAAGGCAGCUCACUAAACAGCGAUUGACGCUGAGGCACGAAAGCGUGGGGAUCAAACAGGAUUAGAUACCCUGGUAGUCCACGCCCUAAACGAUGAUUACUCGACAUACGCGAUACACUGUGUGUGUCUGAGCGAAAGCAUUAAGUAAUCCACCUGGGAAGUACGACCGCAAGGUUGAA
This 378-nucleotide ribosomal RNA is filed under the name uncultured bacterium. Its description in RNAcentral is "bacterial SSU rRNA". It matches the Rfam family "Bacterial small subunit ribosomal RNA", at positions 518 to 898 of the family's 1533-position model. The record is from RNAcentral.